This 141-nucleotide ribosomal RNA is filed under the name Mesotoga sp. TolDC. Its description in RNAcentral is "partial 16S ribosomal RNA". It matches the Rfam family "Bacterial small subunit ribosomal RNA", at positions 1403 to 1533 of the family's 1533-position model. Lineage: Bacteria; Thermotogati; Thermotogota; Thermotogae; Kosmotogales; Kosmotogaceae. The record is from RNAcentral.
CACCCGAGUUGGUAACACCUGAAGAUGAGUAUCCUAACCGAAAGGAGGGAGCUUGUUUAGGGUGGGAUUGGCAAGGGGGGCUAAGUCGUAACAAGGUAGCCCUACCGGAAGGUGGGGCUGGAUCACCUCCUUUCUAAGGAG